RNAcentral lists this unclassified non-coding RNA (1777 nucleotides) under Hevea brasiliensis (rubber tree). Lineage: Eukaryota; Viridiplantae; Streptophyta; Magnoliopsida; Malpighiales; Euphorbiaceae. The record is from RNAcentral.
ACUCGACAGAGAAAUUGAGAUAGGCAACACAACUGCUCCCCCUCCUCCUCCCCCCUUAUUUUAUGAAUUAAAAUUUUUAUACUCUCUGUAGCAAUGCUGCCCUUCAAUUUUUUAUAUUUCAUUUAGAUCUUGUAUGAUCAAUUAUUCUGCAAGGCCUUAGGUCCAAAGUAUGUGUUAUAAAUAGUAGGUAGCAAUGUUCAUAUCAAACUCUUGACUUGUCAGAUUACAGAAGCCCAAUCAUUACCAAUUUCUUCAUUUAAUCAUAUGCAUAAUAGAAAUUCUUCUUAAAUAUGUUUAGGAUCAAACUUGAACUUGCCAACCAUGGUGCGUCAAAAUCAAUGAUCUAGUGGUCUCAUAUGGCUUUUUGCAUUAAUGUUAUAUUUAAAGAAGAAACUAUGUAUCAAAUAUAGAUAGCAAUCAAAAUAUGUCUUGGCUAAUGUUUAGGCUUUCAAUUGCAAUUGCAAUGAUAUAGGUUUUCCUACUAGAUGAAUUGGGGCUUGGUGGAUCUUGCAUAACCUUCUUUGCAUUGUUUUCCAUUAGAUCUAUUGAUGCGAGCUUGAGUUCGUGAAUUGGAUAUGGGGCAUUCUAUGGAUGGUAUUAAAGUUCAUCUUGUGCAAAAGAGCUCUUGGAGCUUGUUGGAUUCAAAUACUUAUCACCUUUUGCAUUCAAAGUGACAAAAUAUAUAGACCAUAUCCAUGAUAAAGAAGCCAAUAAUCUAGGCUUAAAAUAGAGGAGAUGAAACCAGUAGCCUGAAGACUAGGACUAAGAUUAACCAAAAAAGAAAAGUGACCCAACUAACAUGGCCAUGCGCCAAGCACUCUGUGUCCUACUUCAUGCAGCUUGUAUCCCCACUUAAAACUAUUUCAUAGUAUGCCCCAUAACCAUUUCACUUACAUUCCCACUUAAACUACUUCAUAGUAUGUCCCAUAACCAUUUCAUGCUUCAUGCAGAGCCAUUGCACUUGUCAAGUAGAACCAUGUACAUGGGCCAUGCCCACCUAUACAGAACCACUUGUAACAUUCACCUCUCCCUCCAAAGUAGAACCACUUGUACUCAAGGAGAAAUGUUUGAAUCGAGUUGUGGAAGUUUGUUGGAAUGUUAGGGUCCCAAUGUCCCACAUAUUGAGAGCUAGAUGUGGGUAGAUAAAGCUUUGGGCUCCCUCCCCCGAACAGCUAGCUUUCUGAUCCAAGUUCUCUUGAGGCAUUUAUCAGAUCCAUGUCAACAAGAUAGGGCAGAACGAAGCAUUUUAUUUUACAACUUUGUGGUAUGUGGGGGAAUGUUAGGUAAUCUAAAAAUUUAAUAAAUUCAGUCAAGUCUUUUGCUUUCAAGUUCCUGUAAAGGAAUACAUGAAAUUAGCAUAACAUCUCCCUAUGAUGAUCUAUAACUUAAUCUCGUAUUCCAAUACUUUGUCUAUAGAAUUGCCUAAUAGGCAUGCUAAAAUGUUUGAAUUAAAGGGAUCAACCAAAACUGAUGCAGCUCUUGUGGGUGUGUUUGACAAAAAAAGGGGGGCUAAAACAGAAGGAGAGGGAGGGAAACAGCAAGAAGAGGAAUAAUAACAAAGACAAUAGAUAAAUAAUGAUUUUGAUGGUAUAAAUGUGCUUGUUGGUUAUUUCAUGUAACUGUAUCAAGAUAGAGACUGCUAUAUGUAUUUUUUGUUGUCCAUUCAAUUGUUCCACGUCCUUUCUUACUGAACAUAACUUUCACCACUCACCAAUGCCAUUUAUGUUUAAUUCAAUUUUAAUUUUUUGUGUACAGGUGUUCCAUCUCCUAAGCAACG